AUAAAUAAAUUUUUUAUGAUUUAUUAAAUUUAAUUUAAAUUUAUUUUACAUGUAAAUUUUAGUGUUAAUUUUUAAUUAUUUUAAUAAUAAUUAUUAAUAUUGCAGUAAUUAGAAUUAAAAAUUUAAGAAAUUAAGAUUUAGUAAUAUUUAAAUUUAUUAACAAAUUUUGUGCCAGCAGUUGCGGUUAUACAAAAAAUGAUUUAAAUUUUAUCAGUAUAUAAUAAAUAAAAUUAUUAUUUAAAUUAAAUAUUAGAUUAUUAAGUGAAAUUUUAAUUUAAUUAAAAUUUAUAUAAAUUUUAUGAUUUAUUAAAUUUUAUAAAAAACUAGGAUUAGAUACCCUAUUAUUAAAAAUUAAAUUUAUAAUACUAAAAUAGUAGGUAAUUAUUUAUUGAAACUUAAAUAAUUUGGCGGUAUUUUAGUUCAUUUAGAGGAAUCUGUUUAAUAAUUGAUAAUCCACGAAUAAAUUUACUUAAUUUAUUAUUUUGUAUAUCGUUGUUAAAAAAAUAUUUUUUAAUGAAAAUAAUAUUUUAAAAUUUUUAUUUAAAAUUAAUUCAGAUCAAGAUGCAGAUUAUAAUUAAGAAUAUAAUGGAUUACAAUAAAUAAAUUUAAAUGAAUAAUAUUUUUUAAUAAAUAUUUGAAGGUGGAUUUAAAUGUAAUUUUAAUUAAUUUAUUAAAAUGAUUUUAAAUUAAAAUAUGUACAUAUUGCCCGUCGCUUUCAUUAAUAAAUUGGAAUAAGUCGUAACAAAGUAGAGGUACUGGAAAGUGUUUCUAGAAAGAA
RNAcentral lists this non-coding RNA (778 nucleotides) under Parnassius stubbendorfii. Lineage: Eukaryota; Metazoa; Arthropoda; Insecta; Lepidoptera; Papilionidae. The record is from RNAcentral.